GACAAACUUUGGCGGCGUGCUUAACACAUGCAAGUCGAACGGAAAGGCCCUGCUUUUGUGGGGUGCUCGAGUGGCGAACGGGUGAGUAACACGUGAGUAACCUGCCCUUGACUUUGGGAUAACUUCAGGAAACUGGGGCUAAUACCGGAUAGGAGCUCCUGCUGCAUGGUGGGGGUUGGAAAGUUUCGGCGGUUGGGGAUGGACUCGCGGCUUAUCAGCUUGUUGGUGGGGUAGUGGCUUACCAAGGCUUUGACGGGUAGCCGGCCUGAGAGGGUGACCGGCCACAUUGGGACUGAGAUACGGCCCAGACUCCUACGGGAGGCAGCAGUGGGGAAUAUUGCACAAUGGGCGGAGGCCUGAUGCAGCAACGCCGCGUGCGGGAUGACGGCCUUCGGGUUGUAAACCGCUUUCGCCUGUGACGAAGCGUGAGUGACGGUAAUGGGUAAAGAAGCACCGGCUAACUACGUGCCAGCAGCCGCGGUGAUACGUAGGGUGCGAGCGUUGUCCGGAUUUAUUGGGCGUAAAGGGCUCGUAGGUGGUUGAUCGCGUCGGAAGUGUAAUCUUGGGGCUUAACCCUGAGCGUGCUUUCGAUACGGGUUGACUUGAGGAAGGUAGGGGAGAAUGGAAUUCCUGGUGGAGCGGUGGAAUGCGCAGAUAUCAGGAGGAACACCAGUGGCGAAGGCGGUUCUCUGGGCCUUUCCUGACGCUGAGGAGCGAAAGCGUGGGGAGCGAACAGGCUUAGAUACCCUGGUAGUCCACGCUGUAAACGGUGGGUACUAGGUGUGGGGUCCAUUCCACGGGUUCCGUGCCGUAGCUAACGCUUUAAGUACCCCGCCUGGGGAGUACGGCCGCAAGGCUAAAACUCAAAGGAAUUGACGGGGCCCCGCACAAGCGGCGGAGCAUGCGGAUUAAUUCGAUGCAACGCGUAGAACCUUACCUGGGUUUGACAUGGAUCGGGAGUGCUCAGAGAUGGGUGUGCCUCUUUUGGGGUCGGUUCACAGGUGGUGCAUGCCUGUCGUCAGCUCGUGUCGUGAGAUGUUGGGUUAAGUCCCGCAACGAGCGCAACCCUUGUUCACUGUUGCCAGCACGUUAUGGUGGGGACUCAGUGGAGACCGCCGGGGUCAACUCGGAGGAAGGUGGGGAUGACGUCAAGUCAUCAUGCCCCUUAUGUCCAGGGCUUCACGCAUGCUACAAUGGCUGGUACAGAGAGUGGCGAGCCUGUGAGGGUGAGCGAAUCUCGGAAAGCCGGUCUCAGUUCGGAUUGGGGUCUGCAACUCGACCUCAUGAAGUCGGAGUCGCUAGUAAUCGCAAAUCAGCAACGCUGCGGUGAAUACGUUCCCGGGGCC
Molecule: ribosomal RNA, 1346 nt
Filed under: uncultured bacterium
Lineage: Bacteria
Description: partial 16S ribosomal RNA
Rfam family: Bacterial small subunit ribosomal RNA
Source: RNAcentral